This 476-nucleotide ribosomal RNA is filed under the name uncultured euryarchaeote. Its description in RNAcentral is "bacterial SSU rRNA". It matches the Rfam family "Archaeal small subunit ribosomal RNA", at positions 557 to 1032 of the family's 1478-position model. Lineage: Archaea; Methanobacteriati; Methanobacteriota. The record is from RNAcentral.
GCUUAACUUAACAGUAUGCAAGAAAGACUACUGGACUAGGGACCGGGAGGCGUCAGAGGUAUUCCUGAGGGAGCGGUAAAAUGCUAUAAUCUCAGGAGGACCACCAGUGGCGAAAGCGUCUGAGGAGAACGGAUCCGACGGUGAGGGACGAAAGCUGAGGGAGCAAACCGGAUUAGAUACCCGAGUAGUCUUAGCUGUAAACGUUGCGAGCUAGGUGUUACAUAUUCUUCGGGAAUAUGUAGUGUCGAAGCGAAGGUGUUAAGCUCGCCGCCUGGGAAGUAUGGUCGCAAGGCUGAAACUUAAAGGAAUUGGCGGGGGAGCACUACAAGGGGUGCGGCGUGCGGUUUAAUCUAAUUCAACACAGAGAAUCUCACCAGAAGCGACGGCAGGAUGAAGGUCAGGUUAAAGGCCUUACCCAACGAGCCGAGAGGUAGUGCAUGGCCGUCGUCAGCUCGUGCCGUAAGGUGUCCUGUUAA